Molecule: RNase P RNA, 179 nt
Filed under: Paracoccaceae bacterium
Lineage: Bacteria; Pseudomonadati; Pseudomonadota; Alphaproteobacteria; Rhodobacterales; Paracoccaceae
Description: partial RNase P RNA component class A
Rfam family: Bacterial RNase P class A
About the family: Ribonuclease P (RNase P) is a ubiquitous endoribonuclease, found in archaea, bacteria and eukarya as well as chloroplasts and mitochondria. Its best characterised activity is the generation of mature 5'-ends of tRNAs by cleaving the 5'-leader elements of precursor-tRNAs.
Source: RNAcentral
GCGGAGAACUGGAUGAUCGCGGCCCUUCGGGGUCGAGGAAAGUCCGGACUCCACAAAGAAAUGGUGCCGGGUAACGCCCGGGCGGGGCAACCCGACGGAUAGCGCAACAGAAAGCAAACCGCCUGCGCUGGUCGUAGGUAAGGGUGAAAGGGUGGGGUAAGAGCCCACCGGGGGCCUGG